UGGGGAAUAUUGGGCAAUGGGCGCAAGCCUGACCCAGCAACGCCGCGUGAGGGAAGAAGGUCUUCGGAUUGUAAACCUCUGUCCUUGGGGACGAAAAAAAUGACGGUACCCAAGGAGGACGCUCCGGCUAACUACGUGACAGCAGCCGCGGUAAUACGUAGGGAGCGAGCGUUGUCCGGAAUUACUGGGCGUAAAGGGUGCGUAGGCGGCUUGGCAAGUCAGAUGUGAAAUCCCCGGGCGUAACUCGGGAGUUGCAUUUG
RNAcentral lists this ribosomal RNA (260 nucleotides) under uncultured prokaryote. Its description in RNAcentral is "partial 16S ribosomal RNA". It matches the Rfam family "Bacterial small subunit ribosomal RNA", at positions 355 to 629 of the family's 1533-position model. The record is from RNAcentral.